CUGGUACCUUCGGUGCCCGAGUUGUAAUUUGGAGAGGGCAACUUUGGGGCCGUUCCUUGUCUAUGUUCCUUGGAACAGGACGUCAUAGAGGGUGAGAAUCCCGUGUGGCGAGGAGUGCGGUUCUUUGUAAAGUGCCUUCGAAGAGUCGAGUUGUUUGGGAAUGCACCUCUAAGUGGGUGGUAAGUUCCAUCUAAAGCUAAAU
RNAcentral lists this ribosomal RNA (202 nucleotides) under Saccharomyces sp. RNAcentral describes it as "partial 26S ribosomal RNA". It matches the Rfam family "Eukaryotic large subunit ribosomal RNA", at positions 122 to 321 of the family's 3401-position model. Lineage: Eukaryota; Fungi; Ascomycota; Saccharomycetes; Saccharomycetales; Saccharomycetaceae. The record is from RNAcentral.